UUUGACCUCAAAUCAGGUAGGACUACCCGCUGAACUUAAGCAUAUCAAUAAGCGGAGGAAAAGAAACUAACAAGGAUUCCCCUAGUAACUGCGAGUGAAGCGGGAAAAGCUCAAAUUUAAAAUCUGGUAGCUUUCGCUGCCCGAGUUGUAAUCUAGAGAAGCAUUGUCAGUGCUGGCGCGUGUAUAAGUGUCCUGGAAUGGACCAUCAUAGAGGGUGAAAAUCCCGUCCUUGACACGCUGCUUUAGUGCGUUCAGAUGUGCUCUCAAAGAGUCGGGUUGUUUGGGAAUGCAACUCUAAAUGGGUGGUAAGUUCCAUCUAAAGCUAAAUAUUGGCGAGAGACCGAUAGCGAACAAGUACCGUGAGGGAAAGAUGAAAAGAACUUUGGAAAGAGGGUUAAACAGUACGUGAAAUUGCUGAAAGGGAAACGCUUGAAGUCAGUCGCGUCGGCUGGGAAUCAACCAUUGCAAUCCUUUGCUUGGUUUACUUCUCGCUUGACGGGUCAGCAUCAGUUUCGAUCAGUGGACAAAGG
Molecule: ribosomal RNA, 530 nt
Filed under: Termitomyces sp. T69
Lineage: Eukaryota; Fungi; Basidiomycota; Agaricomycetes; Agaricales; Lyophyllaceae
Description: eukaryotic LSU rRNA
Rfam family: Eukaryotic large subunit ribosomal RNA
Source: RNAcentral